This is a long non-coding RNA of Homo sapiens (human), 1115 nucleotides long. Ensembl annotates it as long intergenic non-protein coding RNA 1533. NCBI's taxonomy places the organism in Eukaryota, Metazoa, Chordata, Mammalia, Primates, Hominidae. The record is from Ensembl.
GGCCUAAGACACCACAUGGGUCAUUUCUUCCAGGCUCCAACUUGCUUCUGCUUUGCCAUAUGGUAACACGCCGUAUUAUGGAAGCACCAUCAUUACCGCCAUUUGCAGGGGAAGCCUAAAGAGAUAAAUGCCAGCCAGCAUCCCUGUCUCUGGGGCCCUGGAGAGGCCUUCAACACACCUGGCCUCACUGCCCUGUGGCUUCAACAAAGAGGCCGAGCAUCUCCUAUAAACCUUGAGGUCCAUGGAUGACAUAGCGGAAUGAUGGAUUUCAGAAAAGGCAGGUGCUUCCCACUCUUUAAAUUUUUGUUUAUUCUUUCCAAGUUUCCCAUCAACAGCCCUGCAGUAAAAAUUCAGGGCUUCAGAGACAAAUAUUUCAUGAGUACAGACUGUGAUGAGGAAAAGCAAGCCAUUCCCUCUCUAUCAGGAUCCAGAGCACACUGCUGUUACGACUCCAGAACCGAUAAGGAAGCUAUGUGUGGAAGUAUGAGCUCAGGUCGCCUUCUGACCCUCUGUGACGGUCUAUUUCAGGCAGUUAUGGAUAGAUAACAUUACAGACACUGGGAUCUUUAACAAGUGACACAAACAAGAGAAGAAGCAGACAGGACCAUUUAACUUCAAACUCCACCGAAGAGAGCUGAAUUGUAAGCUUCCUACAGCAAGCCCGGCUGGCGGCUAUGUGGCAGUCUUCAUUUCUCAGCGGAAAAGCCACUCCCUUGAGACUCUCCAGGCACCCCCCAACCGCAUUUUUUAUCAAGUGUCUAAAAGACACAAUGAACAAAAACCAGAGCUUUUGAAUACAGAUUUCCAGUAAAACCAAACCCAGCUUGGGUCAGAUGCACCUUUCCAGCAACCACCAUCUCAGCAACAACCUGCCAGCUGUCAACUGGAAGUUCAGCUUCUGGGAACUUCAGCCCCCUUCUCAGAGGAGCAAGGUCCUAGCACCAACAGCACCUGCAGUGGAGCCCAAGUAUGGCUGCUUCAUGGAGAAGGCAGGUAUCUGUUUGCGUGCAAAUCCGUGAGUGCUUGCAUCUCGUGUAUUUGAAAAUCCUGUUUAAGAAUGCAGAGGUCCAUAUAGUGUCAUUAAAACAAAUGAGUAUAACCCUUUGGUCAUCUAG